This 280-nucleotide long non-coding RNA is filed under the name Elaeis guineensis (African oil palm). RNAcentral's name for it is "long non-coding RNA (EGUI_LNC059336)". The record is from RNAcentral. Lineage: Eukaryota; Viridiplantae; Streptophyta; Magnoliopsida; Arecales; Arecaceae.
GCCAGUAGUAGGUUCGGAUGUAAGUUGAUCUAAUUUUAUUAGACUUCAAUCUAAUCGGUUUAGGUCCAAUAGAGCUAAUCCGAGAUCAACAAUUAGAAUCCUUUCUAAUUGACGAUCGAAUUAAACUCUUUAAUUUGAUCAAAUCUACAAAUCAAGAUGGACAUCUAGCAAUGUAUCAUGACUAUCCAAAAGAUAUAAAAUUUGAUAAAAAUAUCAAAUAUACCCUUCAGUAGUAGUUACCAUGUAAUACAAUUUUUCGAUCAUCCCUACACCCUGAAUA